GUGUUGCUAAUUGUCGGGGCGAUGUUAUUAUGAGCGCAGGUGUCACUAUCCAAAGUAAAAGUGCAGGUGUCAAUUUAAGAAAGCACACGUUUUUCUGAUGGCAUAUUAGGACCCUUUGUCUGGUGUGCUGGGUUGGGCCGGCUUGCAAAGGAAGAUAUAAAAGGGCAGAAAUAAAUAAAUGAAAUAAAACCAACACCUUCUGUGGCAGCUAACCCCCGCCCCCCUCCACAAGACCCUGUCGCUCCCAGACAGAGCACGGAGACAAAUGUCCUGCUCGGGGGUGCCUCAAAGGCAGGUUCUGCACCGAGGGGGUUUGGAGGCAGGUGGUCUCAGCAGUGGAGCUGGGAGUCAUUAGUGGGUUUGUGUCUAGAGGUUCCCAGCUGAACCAGCCCUGGGGACUAGACCCUGUCCCCACACACACCAUGGUAAGAGCAAAGCUCUGCUCCGAUGAGCUUAUGAACUAAAUGGACAAAGGAGGGGAAGAGAAAUCGAGGUGUCCAGUGACUCGCCCUCACCCAGCUCAACACUGAUACCAGGAAUAGACCCAGUACACCACACUGCCUCUCCGAGCGCCUCUGACCGUUAGUGCCGGGAACAGACCCUCCAUCGGCCAGUACAGCGCACGGCCUCUCCGAGCGCCUCUGACCGUUAGCGCCGGGAACAGACCCUCCAUCGGCCAGUACAGCGCACUGCCUCUCCGAGCGCCUCUGACCGUUAGCGCCGGGAACAGACCCUCCAUCGGCCAGCACAGCGCACUGCCUCUCCGAGUGCCUCUGACUUACAUGCCUCCCGGAGUUUCCAGGGGAACCGUUGUUGCCUCAUCUUUGAAGAGGGCACAGGGUGUGUGCGUCUCUGAUGUCCACUGCAGAGGAGUGGCCCUGUCUCCACCCAGCCACCCUCAGUGUGGCUAAUGCCAUGGGAGCCAGUAGCUAGCCGCAGUCCUUAUUCUCAAGAGACCACAAUGACAUUGCUUGUGCCUCAGCCCUGCAUAGGGAUGCAAGGAGUGGGAGCAGCUUCCCACAUGCCCCCCUUUCCUUGCACUGCCGCGAGAAGCUGAACACAGUCUGUCAAUCAAGGGCACCAAAAACCCUCUUGUUUUUCUUGGUAAAUAACUUCCUUGUGACUCCGGCUUGGAAUGUGUCUGGGAGAAACUGCAGGGCUAUAUAGGGGAAAAACCAAGCAAUGAUUUAUUUCCUGCUUGGUGUAAAAGAUACUGCGCUGGGUCUACUGAGCUUUGAGUGUUUGUGUAAAUCUGUCUCCUCAAAACAUCUCAAAGAGUUGACUGAUGGCCCAUGUAAUUUAGAAGAAGGCUAAAAAUUUAAAUCUUACAACCUGCCUGAGAGAGAGAAAAUACAAUGCAGUUUGUGCCAUGCUCAGCAUUACACCGCAGGAAGCAGAUGCCAAAACUAUACUUUGGAAGGACUGUGCUGUAAUUGAGCUGGUGACAGUGGCAGAAUUGUCAGAGGAAUUUUUCUGACAACUUCUCUGAGUUGUUCCUCUGACAACUUUCUCUGAGACUUGGGCCCUCCUGUUUCGAGCACAGCACAAAUUGUUUCUGAUGUUCUCCAGGGACCCAUCUAAGUGCAGGUGAAUGGACACACCUGGACUCCGUGUGAACUGCUGCUGGUGGCGAGAAGUUUCUGGGAACAGAUAAAGAGAAUAACGAAUGUUAAAGCUUUCAGAAGCUCCCUUAUCUACCUACCUGGGGGAAAGGCCUAGGUAAAACGAGCCUCCCCUCCUAAGUUAAUUUUCUCCAUGUGAAAAUGA
Long non-coding RNA from Mauremys reevesii (Reeves's turtle), 1767 nucleotides. RefSeq lists it as uncharacterized. The record is from RefSeq and is a predicted model, not a curated record. The transcript has 3 exons. NCBI's taxonomy places the organism in Eukaryota, Metazoa, Chordata, Testudines, Geoemydidae.